AUUAAUUUACGAAAUUUAUAAAAAGCUUUAAAAUUCUAAGAAACUUUAACCAUAAGAGCAAACUCGGCCACAUUGCUGCACCCUUAAAUUAAUCACAGUAUUGGUAUAUAUUCUGCACUGCAAAUUUUCACAAGCCGAAGAAGAACUACAAGAAUAUGCUCCCAAAUACAUAUUAAUAAGUAAUAUAUCCUAACUACACCUUUUGGAUUUUGAGUUUUCACGAUUUUGGGUUGUCUGGAUUUUGAUUUCCGGGAUUAUGAGCUUUCGGGAUUUGGGUAUAUAUGUUUUUUUGAAUUUCAGAUUUUCGGGACUUCUAACCAAAAUUUAAUUGAAACAAAUUUCCUAUUAAUCCGAUUCGGUAGCUGGUACUACAAAACAU
Long non-coding RNA from Episyrphus balteatus (marmalade hoverfly), 379 nucleotides. RefSeq lists it as uncharacterized. The transcript has 3 exons. NCBI's taxonomy places the organism in Eukaryota, Metazoa, Arthropoda, Insecta, Diptera, Syrphidae. The record is from RefSeq and is a predicted model, not a curated record.